AACCUUAUUUCGUCCCGACAAGCAUCAGUCUGGGGCCUGUUGCUGCUGGCUGCUGACCGUGCUCUGGAACCUUCAUUGCUCUGAGAGAGAGAGGAAGGCUCAGUCCAGUGACCCAGCUCCCUAGGAAUGGUUCUUCCCUGCAGGAUCAGAGUUUAUGCCUGGAAAGGCAGGAUUCAUAUCCAGAAGACCUAAAUCAGUCCUGAAAGUACAGAGUGCUGGUUGCCUGCAUAUAAGAAAUAGAAGUGGUCUCCUGAGAGCGGUCCACCCACAUGCAGAGGCCUUCUCUUCUACUCACGUUUUUACGACGGCGGAGUUGACUCCUGGUUUGGCUGCCGAUCAUGGGUUGCCUGGAACUUGCCCUGCAGCCUCCAGUGUGGGUAUGUCUUAGUCAUCGUAGCUGGUGACACUGCUCACUGCUUCCUUUUCCAGGACUGUCCUAGUCCCCCCUCUCAACCACAGCCUGGAAAUAAUUCAGCAUCCCUAGCCCAGAAAGCUGGGGUUCGG
RNAcentral lists this long non-coding RNA (504 nucleotides) under Canis lupus familiaris (dog). Its description in RNAcentral is "lncRNA (ENSCAFG00000050641.1)". The record is from RNAcentral. Lineage: Eukaryota; Metazoa; Chordata; Mammalia; Carnivora; Canidae.